Molecule: long non-coding RNA, 155 nt
Organism: Thalassophryne amazonica
Lineage: Eukaryota; Metazoa; Chordata; Actinopteri; Batrachoidiformes; Batrachoididae
Exons: 3
Source: RefSeq, a predicted model, not a curated record
UUUGAUACUAUUGAUCAUAACAUAGUGAUGAAUAAACUGGAGAGAUAUGGUAUAAGAGGGUUAGCAUACACAUGGAUGAAAAGUUAUUUAGAUGACAGAUAUCAAUAUGUGCAACUAAAUAAUGUAAAAUCAAAUCAUCAAAACGUCAUAUUUGG